This 291-nucleotide long non-coding RNA is filed under the name Vigna radiata. RNAcentral's name for it is "long non-coding RNA (VRAD_LNC005304)". Lineage: Eukaryota; Viridiplantae; Streptophyta; Magnoliopsida; Fabales; Fabaceae. The record is from RNAcentral.
GAAAUUAUUUUUGUUGCCUUGUUAUGUGAAGUGGGCACUUGGUUUUAUGUGUGGGCGCGUUGCGUAUAAUAUAGUUAGUGCAGGAUUGUAGGUAACCUUUCCUUAAAGUGUUUUGUCGUUCAGUACGGGAUAAGGUUGGGUUUGUAAGUUCUUUUAGGGUGUAUGCAUGGGUUGUGCUUGAAAAAGGGAGAAAGUGAGAGAAAAUCUAUAAGAAAGAUAGUGAGUAGGGUUGGUCUCGGGGUACUUAUGAGGGUGAGCCUUGGUUUUAUGGAAGGAAAGGAAAAGGGUACU